UACGAGUGGUGCGAGCGUUAUUCGGAAUUAUUGGGCGUAAAGGGUGCGUAGGCGGCGUAUUAAGUCAACUGUUAAAUUCCUCGGCCUAACUGAGGUUAUGCAGUAGAUACUAUUAUGCUAGAGGUUGGAAGAGAGAAGUGGAAUUCUUGGAGUAGCGGUAAAAUGCGUAGAUCUCAAGAGGAACACCAAUGGCGAAGGCAGCUUCUUGGUCCAAAUCUGACGCUGAUGCACGAAAGCGUGGGGAGCAAACAGG
RNAcentral lists this ribosomal RNA (253 nucleotides) under uncultured bacterium. RNAcentral's name for it is "partial 16S ribosomal RNA". It matches the Rfam family "Bacterial small subunit ribosomal RNA", at positions 524 to 776 of the family's 1533-position model. The record is from RNAcentral.